Molecule: non-coding RNA, 152 nt
Filed under: Pseudomonas sp.
Lineage: Bacteria; Pseudomonadati; Pseudomonadota; Gammaproteobacteria; Pseudomonadales; Pseudomonadaceae
Description: FMN sequence
Rfam family: FMN riboswitch aptamer (RFN element)
About the family: The RFN element is a highly conserved domain that is found frequently in the 5'-untranslated regions of prokaryotic mRNAs that encode for flavin mononucleotide (FMN) biosynthesis and transport proteins. This element is a metabolite-dependent riboswitch that directly binds FMN in the absence of proteins.
Source: RNAcentral
CAACGUUCUCAGGGCGGGGUGCAAUUCCCCACCGGCGGUAAUUGCGCCCAUGCGCAUAGCCCGCGAGCGCUUGCAGGCAUGUCUUGCAAGGUCAGCAGACCCGGUGUGAUUCCGGGGCCGACGGUCAUAGUCCGGAUAAAGAGAGAACGGGA